GAUGAAGAACGCAGCGAAAUGCGAUAAGUAAUGUGAAUUGCAGAAUUCAGUGAAUCAUCGAAUCUUUGAACGCACCUUGCACCCUUUGGCAUUCCGAAGGGUAUGCUCGUUUGAGUGUCAUUGUACUCUCACACUUCCAAUCUUUGGAUUGGGAGCGGUGGACUUGGGUGUUGCUGCUUACUGUGGCUCACCUCAAAUCGAUUCGUGCACCUCUUGGUUGGACAUAGUACGGCGUGAUAAGUGUCUUCGCCGACACCUCAGUAGAGGGUGGCUGAUCAGGAGCUCUGUGCUUCAAACCGUCCUCGGACAACAACUGACAACUUGACCUCAAAUCGAGUAGGACUACCCGCUGAACUUAAGCAUAUCAAUAAGCGGAGGA
RNAcentral lists this unclassified non-coding RNA (379 nucleotides) under soil metagenome. Its description in RNAcentral is "partial contains 5.8S ribosomal RNA, internal transcribed spacer 2, and large subunit ribosomal RNA". The stretch from base 1 to 120 matches the Rfam family "5.8S ribosomal RNA", at positions 35 to 154 of the family's 154-position model. The record is from RNAcentral.